RNAcentral lists this long non-coding RNA (3785 nucleotides) under Nicotiana benthamiana. RNAcentral describes it as "long non-coding RNA (NBEN_LNC028832)". Lineage: Eukaryota; Viridiplantae; Streptophyta; Magnoliopsida; Solanales; Solanaceae. The record is from RNAcentral.
GCAUCCUGCCAAGCUGGGACUGAUGCAGCUUGAGAAUAAUAGAGGGGUUCAGAUUUUAAAGGAGAAGAAGAAGAGGAAGAGCCAGAAAAGAAAGGCAGGUGACACACAUAAUCAUUGAGAUAAGAGGGAGGAUUAUGUGGUCUGCCAGAUCUUCUGUGUCCAGUAGGGACAACAGAGGAAGGAACAACUUAAGAAGAAGGAGUGGAAGGAGGAGGAUUAAUAACAAAGAGAGGAGCAGAAGGAGAAGAAAGGGAGGAAAGAAAUGAAGAAGAAACAAGACUAGAGUCAGAAGAAGAAGAAACAGGAGGAGAAGGACAAAGAGCAGCUGGAGGAGAAGGAGCAGGGUGGAGAAGGGGAGUGGAAGGAGGAGGAUUAAUAACAGAGAGAGGAACAGAAGGAGAAGAAAGGGAGGAAGGAAGUGAUGAAGAAACAGGAAUGGAGCCAGAAGGAAAAGAAAAAGAGAAGGACAAGGGGGAACAGGCAAAACAAAGUCAGAACAGGGAAUCUUAGGGGAAGGAACAGGAGGAGGAGGAAAAGUAGAAGAACCAGAGGUAACAGCAGAAGCAGAGUCAAAAGGAAAGCAGGUUUUAUGAAAGACAACAUCCCUGGACACAAAAUACUUCUUAGUGGUGAGGUCAUAUAGCCUGUAGCCCUUUUUUGCAAAAGGAUAUCCCAGAAAAACACAGGAGCGAGCUCUAGGUUUCAGCUUAUCUCUCUGUGGAAUGGGUACAGUGGCAUAUGCAAGACAGCCAAAUGCCCUUAAAUGAGAAUAAGUAGGGGUUUUUCCAUGUUCAUAAGGAGAUUUGUCGUGAAGAAGUCUGGAUGGAAUCCUAUUAAGCAAAUAGGUGGCAGUCAAUAAACAGUCCCCCCAAAAAUGAAUAGGUAAUUUGAUUGAAAAAGUAAAGCUCUACAUGCUUCAAGGAGGGUCCUAUGUUUUCUUUCUACAACACCAUUUUGUUGAGGAGUAUGGGGACAGAUAGUUUGAUGAAUAAUGCCCUGUUGGUUAAAGAAAGAAACACCAGCAAGACUAGACCCCAAUUCCAAAGCAUUAUCACUUCUGACAGUUUGUACAGUAGCAUUAAAUUGAGUUUUGACCAUACACAAAAAGGACUUAAGAAGGCUUAAAGCAUUACUUUUAUACCCCAGUAAAUGUGUCCAGGUUGCUCUAGAAAAAUCAUAAACUAUGGUAAGAAAAUAUCUAGAGCCAGAAGAGGUGGGUGUGUGAUAAGGGCCCCAAGUGUCUACAUGAAUAAGUUGGAAAGGUCUACAGGUACUGAUUGAACUGUGAGGAAAAGGAAGUCAAGUUUGCCUAGCCAUGGGACAAACAGAACAGGGAAAUGGUUGUUUGGAAGCAAAAGGAAAAGAUAAAGAAGAAAUGUGUUUCUUGCUUGCAAAAGGAAUGUAAGCCAGUCUUAAAUGCCAAAUGUAGUUCAUGUCAUUAGCAUCGGUUUUAUUAUAACAAUUGGAACUAUUUACAUUGGAAUGUAAAGCAACAGAAUUAAGGUCAGAAGAACAAACAUGAGUACAAUAAUCUUUAAUGGAGCAUACAGAAGUAGAAGAACAACAAUUAAAGAAGAAGAUUAAGGGGGCACCCAAGCAAAUUUGUACAGACCAGCCUCCUCUUUACCAAGAUCCAGAGGAAUCUUCAGAGAAGGGGCCUAUUACAUGUGAAGGAAACAAGAAGUUGCAGUAAACAGAACAAUACAGUGCAACUGUUUCACUAGCUUGUGGACAGAAAUUAAAUUGUGUUUGAAAGAUGGAACAAACAGUACAUUAUGAAGAGUAAUGUAGGGAGUUAAAGCAAAAGAGCCAGUUGAAGUCACUUUUACUUUGUAUCCAUUAGGAAGAGUUACAAGAUAAGGCACAAGUAAAGGUGUGAUAUUGAAGAGUAAGUUCUUAUUAGAUGUCAUAUGAUCAGAAGCUCCUGAAUCUAUUAUCCAGGAGACAGAAGCAAUAUGAGUAAGUAGACAGAGUUUGGAAUCAGAAACAGGACUCUCACUAAGCAUAGUACCGGCAAAGUUGGUAGCACACAACGUAGGAGAGGUCUGAGCAGGAGAAGUCUGAGCAGUGGAGUCACCCAAUUUGGACUGUUGCAGCAGAUUCAUCAAUUGAUCAUAAUGUUGCAUGCUCAAUCCAGGAAUUACUGAAUCAUGUCCAUCUACAUGUUGGACAGAUGAAUGACCCUCAAUAUGAUUUCCAGAAGCAUGAGAAUUGUGUCCAUCAGAAGAAGGGAAGGAGGUGAAAUCAACACCAGUGGUGUCAUGGGCAGCAGUAGGUCUCUUUCCUUUGUUAAACCUGAUUAUUUGAGGAAAUCCAUGAAGUUUGUAACACUUAUCAAUUAAGUGCCCAGACUUCUUGUAAUAUCUACAGAAGAGAGGUCCUCUGGAUUGAUCAAAAGUAACUCUCUGGGCAUACUGUCUAAGAGGAGGAGAGUUGGGCAAUGCAGCUUGACUGAAAGAAGGUGUAGAAGUUUUAUGUGUGUUGACACUGAAGGACAUAGAGUCGGGAUUGAACUGGGAGACAGACUGAACUUAUCUUUGUUUUUCAUCAUUGAGGAGAAUGUUAUAGACACUGUCAAGACUAGGAGAAGGUUGAAUCAUUAGCAAAUUGCUCCUCACCCCAUAUAUGUUUCAUUAAGGCCCAUGAGGAAUUGAAACACCUUAUUUUCCUCAUCAUCCUUUAUGAUGCCAGGUUUGGCAGCACAAAUACAUCUUUUUCCAUGAUUUGGGCAUACUAUUCCUAACUCAUCCCAUAACCCUUUGGGUUUGUAAAAAUAGGAUGCUAUAUCUAGAGGUCCUUGAGAAGAAUGAGAGAGUUCUCUUUUAAGUUAAAAAAUUUUGGUCCUAUUGGCUGUGCCAUAUCUGGCUUUGAGUUGUGCCCAUAUACUCUGUGCAGUCUCAGAAUAUUGAACACUCUCGGCUAUUUGAGGAGACAGAGAGGCAGUCAACCAGGAAAUGACCAUAUUAUUGCAUCUAUCCCAUAAUUCUCUCGGCUAUUUGAGAAGACAGAGAGGCACUCAACCAGGAAAUGACCAUAUUAUUGCAUCUGUCCCAUAAUUUCUGUUCAGCCAAGUUAGUCUUUGGUCUAGGGCUAGUGCCAUCAACAAAACCAAUUUUGUACAGGGCAACUAUCAUCUUUCUCUUCCAACCCCCAUAGCCACUACUCGAGAAAGGAAUAGAAACAAGGGAAACACCGGGGACAUCAGAAGAGUUAACAAAGAGAGGACUUAUAGGGUCAAUAGGUGGGGGAUUAACAGAGUUCAUAUUUGCCAUCUGAAACAGAACAACAAGGAUGAGAGGAAAGUGAUUUAAUAUCUAUGAACUAUACAAUACAACAAAUAUUCCAGCAACAAAAACACAUGCAAGCUCUAAUCAAGAGUGAGAAUAGGGUUACCAUACUGCUACUCUACCGGAGAAGAAACGGCCUUCAAAAAAAAAUUCAGAGAAAACCCUAGCUUCGUUCAUAAAAAACCCUAGCUUUCAGAGAAGCCGACGGAAUCAGGCACAAGAGGUAUCGAAAAUUCACCCUAACACCAUGCUUGAAGAAUCAGCAACAAACCAUCUCCGAUUUCACCAACAGAUCAAAAAAAUCCAGAAUCAUCACCAACAACUUGAAAAAUCCAGAAAUUAUCACCGAUAAUACAAUAAACCCAAACCGGAAGAACCGAGAAGACAAAGUAUAUAGCCGAGAGGGAGAACCACGCUCUAAUACUAUGUAAACAUGGUGAAUCGGAGAUGAAUUAGAGAUAGAGAGAGAAAGGGAGGAGAACCUUUCUCUGAUUUUUU